GAUGAACGCUGGCGGCGUGCCUAAUACAUGCAAGUCGAGCGAACAGACGAGGAGCUUGCUCCUCUGACGUUAGCGGCGGACGGGUGAGUAACACGUGGAUAACCUACCUAUAAGACUGGGAUAACUUCGGGAAACCGGAGCUAAUACCGGAUAAUAUAUUGAACCGCAUGGUUCAAUAGUGAAAGACGGUUUUGCUGCCACUUAUAGAUGGAUCCGCGCCGCAUUAGCUAGUUGGUAAGGUAACGGCUUACCAAGGCAACGAUGCGUAGCCGACCUGAGAGGGUGAUCGGCCACACUGGAACUGAGACACGGUCCAGACUCCUACGGGAGGCAGCAGUAGGGAAUCUUCCGCAAUGGGCGAAAGCCUGACGGUGCAACGCCGCGUGAGUGAUGAAGGUCUUCGGAUCGUAAAACUCUGUUAUUAGGGAAGAACAAAUGUGUAAGUAACUAUGCACGUCUUGACGGUACCUAAUCAGAAAGCCACGGCUAACUACGUG
Molecule: ribosomal RNA, 497 nt
Filed under: uncultured bacterium
Lineage: Bacteria
Description: partial 16S ribosomal RNA
Rfam family: Bacterial small subunit ribosomal RNA
Source: RNAcentral